Molecule: ribosomal RNA, 582 nt
Filed under: Rhodotorula glutinis
Lineage: Eukaryota; Fungi; Basidiomycota; Microbotryomycetes; Sporidiobolales; Sporidiobolaceae
Description: partial large subunit ribosomal RNA
Rfam family: Eukaryotic large subunit ribosomal RNA
Source: RNAcentral
CCCCCCUUAGUAGCGGCGAGCGAGGCGGGAAGAGCUCAAAUUUAUAAUCUGGCACCUUCGGUGUCCGAGUUGUAAUCUCUAGAAGUGUUUUCCGCGUUGGACCGCACACAAGUCUGUUGGAAUACAGCGGCAUAGUGGUGAAACCCCCGUAUAUGGUGCGGACGCCCAGCGCUUUGUGAUACACUUUCAAUGAGUCGAGUUGUUUGGGAAUGCAGCUCAAAUUGGGUGGUAAAUUCCAUCUAAAGCUAAAUAUUGGCGAGAGACCGAUAGCGAACAAGUACCGUGAGGGAAAGAUGAAAAGCACUUUGGAAAGAGAGUUAACAGUACGUGAAAUUGUUGGAAGGGAAACGCUUGAAGUCAGACUUGCUUGCCGGAGCUUGCUUCGGUUUGCAGGCCAGCAUCAGUUUUCCGGGGUGGAUAAUGACGGUUUGAAGGUAGCAGUCUCGGCUGUGUUAUAGCUUUCCGUUGGAUACAUCCUGGGGGACUGAGGAACGCAGCGUGCUUUUUGCGAAAGACUCGUCUUUUUCACGCUUAGGAUGCUGGUGGAAUGGCUUUAAACGACCCGUCUUGAAACACGGACCA